CCUACGGGAGGCAGCAGUGGGGAAUAUUGCACAAUGGGGGAAACCCUGAUGCAGCAACGCCGCGUGAGUGAAGAAGUAUUUCGGUAUGUAAAGCUCUAUCAGCAGGGAAGAGAAUGACGGUACCUGACUAAGAAGCCCCGGCUAACUACGUGCCAGCAGCCGCGGUAAUACGUAGGGGGCGAGCGUUAUCCGGAUUUACUGGGUGUAAAGGGAGCGUAGACGGUUCUGCAAGUCUGAAGUGAAAGCCCGGGGCUUAACCGCGGAACGGCUUUGGAAACUGUGGAACUGGAGUGCUGGAGAGGCAAGCGGAAUUCCUAGUGUAGCGGUGAAAUGCGUAGAUAUUAGGAGGAACACCAGUGGCGAAGGCGGCUUGCUGGACAGUAACUGACGUUGAGGCUCGAAAGCGUGGGGAGCAAACAGGAUUAGAUACCCGUGUAGUC
RNAcentral lists this ribosomal RNA (440 nucleotides) under uncultured bacterium. RNAcentral's name for it is "partial 16S ribosomal RNA". It matches the Rfam family "Bacterial small subunit ribosomal RNA", at positions 338 to 795 of the family's 1533-position model. The record is from RNAcentral.